CAGUAUUUAGUUUAAAUUAAAAUUUGUUAUUUGGAUUGAUAGGAUUUUUACUGAG
This 55-nucleotide transfer RNA is filed under the name Metastrongylus pudendotectus. RNAcentral describes it as "tRNA-Pro". The record is from RNAcentral. Lineage: Eukaryota; Metazoa; Nematoda; Chromadorea; Rhabditida; Metastrongylidae.